GCUGUAUGUCAGAGUUUCACGCUCCAAGUGCAUUGCUGUUGCAGCCACCACAAUUGCUUUCAGGAAAAAAAUCCUCCGCAUUUCUUAAGUGCACAGAGUCAAGGCCUCCUGGGACUUGCACCACUUCAUUUGCACAGCCAUCAACCAACACCCCAGAGUUGGAGAAGAAAGUGCUGCACAGCCUCCACAUCAUGUCAUUGCGGCUUCUAGAGCACUCCGACCAGCUGGACAUAAUGUUAUCAUAUUUGCAAGAACCCAAAGAGACGGAAGAGUCAGACAUCAUUACACGUCCAUUUGUUGGUGUUGAAAGUUUCAUAAAGUUUGAUGAGGGACUGCAGCACUCUCACAAGAAAAAGGAACAGCUGCAGCGACAGAUGAUAAAAAUUGGGGGCACAAGCAGUGGAGACAGAGCCAGACGCACCCUCUACAAAAUAAUUGCAGAUGAGGUGGCACAGAAAUUCAACUGGGCAGGGGCAGGCGGCAAAAUGAAGUUCAGUUCAAUUGAGUGCUGCAACGUGAUAUGUAGUAAGUAUGGCUUACAACAUAUAACU
This is a long non-coding RNA of Ornithodoros turicata, 551 nucleotides long. RefSeq lists it as uncharacterized. The transcript has 3 exons. NCBI's taxonomy places the organism in Eukaryota, Metazoa, Arthropoda, Arachnida, Ixodida, Argasidae. The record is from RefSeq and is a predicted model, not a curated record.